CAACCGAGCGCUAGAGCCUACGCACGCGCUCCUGCUCGCGUCCCGGCUCAGCAUCGGGAGCGCGCUCUGUGUGGCCGCUGCCGCCAUGUUGUUGUGGUUGUGAGAAGGCGGUGGCAGGCGGCGGCGGCAGCGGUGCAGCCGGACUAGACGCUCCUGCGGCCCAGGCGCUGCCCCCCCGCCAGCCCUGGCUGGGAGCCUCGUGGGGGUGGCGGAGGAGGCCGUGCCGUGCCGAGCCUCGCCUCGCCAUGUCUUGCUCCCUGAUUUCCUUGUGAAACCUUCUGAUAGAAAAAGUUUUCAGUACAAACUUCAUUUGAUCUCAGCAUAAGAGAAAGAAGAGCUUUGCCAGACACUGAAGAAGGGACGGGGAUCUCUCGUCCUAAUCUGGGCCUCCUGUCAUGGUAAGUAUAAGGAAAUAAGAAAAUUGGAGUUGAACUCAAUUCUAAAAAUUUAGCUGAACACUAAUC
RNAcentral lists this long non-coding RNA (464 nucleotides) under Urocitellus parryii (Arctic ground squirrel). Its description in RNAcentral is "lncRNA (ENSUPAG00010002269.1)". The record is from RNAcentral. Lineage: Eukaryota; Metazoa; Chordata; Mammalia; Rodentia; Sciuridae.